CAGCCGCCACGGUAAUACGUAGGGUGCGAGCGUUAAUCGGAAUUACUGGGCGUAAAGCGUGCGCAGGCGGUUCGUUAAGACAGAUGUGAAAUCCCCGGGCUUAACCUGGGAACUGCAUUUGUGACUGGCAAGCUAGAGUCUUGUAGAGGGGGGUAGAAUUCCAGGUGUAGCGGUGAAAUGCGUAGAGAUCUGGAGGAAUACCGGUGGCGAAGGCGGCCCCCUGGACAAAGACUGACGCUCAGGUGCGAAAGCGUGGGGGGCAAACAGGAUUAGAUACCCGCGUAGUCCCUGUCUCUUAUAC
This 301-nucleotide ribosomal RNA is filed under the name uncultured bacterium. RNAcentral's name for it is "partial 16S ribosomal RNA". It matches the Rfam family "Bacterial small subunit ribosomal RNA", at positions 509 to 807 of the family's 1533-position model. The record is from RNAcentral.